UUUUAUUUCCUUGUAUUUAAAGUACUAUUACUUUUAAUAAACUUUUCCAUGUAUAAUUAGGAUUUGCAAUCUGAUAAAUAGGUACUUAAUGUACUAUGUAGAAAGGAGAUAGUCAACCAAAAACUAAAAGACUCCUUCAAUUGCAUGUUCUGGAGAGUCCUCGAGGACAAGAUCAAGUCAAUCAAGCUUCCCAGUGUUCCUGUCCUCAAAACAGUAUAACUAUCCAAAUUAUGAAGUCCUCAAAUCUAAUCUUUCUUUACUGAUAUGAAUCUGAAUCAUAUGAUAACUCAAAAUGAAUGAUAA
This 303-nucleotide unclassified non-coding RNA is filed under the name Hevea brasiliensis (rubber tree). Lineage: Eukaryota; Viridiplantae; Streptophyta; Magnoliopsida; Malpighiales; Euphorbiaceae. The record is from RNAcentral.